This 468-nucleotide ribosomal RNA is filed under the name uncultured bacterium. RNAcentral describes it as "partial 16S ribosomal RNA". It matches the Rfam family "Bacterial small subunit ribosomal RNA", at positions 28 to 507 of the family's 1533-position model. The record is from RNAcentral.
GACGAACGCUGGCGGCGUGCUUAACACAUGCAAGUCGAACGGAAAGGCCCUGCUUUUGUGGGGUGCUCGAGUGGCGAACGGGUGAGUAACACGUGAGUAACCUGCCCUUGACUUUGGGAUAACUUCAGGAAACUGGGGCUAAUACCGGAUAGGAGCUCCUGCUGCAUGGUGGGGGUUGGAAAGUUUCGGCGGUUGGGGAUGGACUCGCGGCUUAUCAGCUUGUUGGUGGGGUAGUGGCUUACCAAGGCUUUGACGGGUAGCCGGCCUGAGAGGGUGACCGGCCACAUUGGGACUGAGAUACGGCCCAGACUCCUACGGGAGGCAGCAGUGGGGAAUAGUGCACAAUGGGCGGAAGCCUGAUGCAGCAACGCCGCGUGCGGGAUGACGGCCUUCGGGUUGUAAACCGCUUUCGCCUGUGACGAAGCGUGAGUGACGGUAAUGUGUAAAGAAGCACCGGCUAACUACGUG